Camellia sinensis is the source of this 1483-nucleotide non-coding RNA. The record is from RefSeq and is a predicted model, not a curated record. Lineage: Eukaryota; Viridiplantae; Streptophyta; Magnoliopsida; Ericales; Theaceae.
UCCACCUGUGGCACUUGCUUGGGAUGCUACAUCAGGUCUUCACAUAUUUCCAAAUUUGUAUUCUGAGACAGUUAUGGUGGAUUCUUCACCAGCACUCUGGAGUUCAACUCAGGGGUUCGAGAAGACUACCGUUUUGUUACUGGUAUUGUCAUCUAAUGUUUAAUAAGUUUCCUGUCUUGUAAUAACCAUACAAUAUAGGAUUAAUACAAUUCACAGUUCUAUUUCUCCAACCUUAAAAAUUAAAGGUUUUGAUUUCUGCGUUUUCUGUCAUAUUUUAUUUAUUUAUUUAUCGUUUGUGUGUGUGAAUGGGGACUAGUGAUUUCAGUAAUUUGUGUUUGCCACGUGUUCUGGUUUUUGCAACUAACUUCUGCAGCUUGUUGGGUUGUGCGCUGCUAUCUGUUACAUGGCGAUUUGGCUUGGAUACACAGACAUGCACUUAAUCUUUGGUGUAUCUAUGACUUUGGAGCAUGUGUGGCUCAGCAGGGAGAGCUGAAUAAUCAGUUGAAGCAGUAGCUCUAGAAGUUCUAGAUAUGAAGCAUGGGUCAUUUAUAAUUUCUUGGCAUUGUGCCUGGCAUGGGUGGGUGGACCAGGAGCUGUUGUGUUGAGUUUAAGUGGUCGGGUUUUGAAGCCAAGCUGGUAUCUGAUGACAUGCUGCUUUUCUCCCAUUCCAUUAGAUGGGCGCUUCAUACGGAGAUGCAAGCAAGGUUGUUUGCAGUUUGUGAUACUCAAGCCUGUUUUAGUGGUAGUUACAUUCAUACUUUAUGCAAAAGGGAAAUAUCAUGAUGGGAAUUUCAGUGUGGACCAGUCAUACCUUUAUCUCACUGUCAUCUAUACAGUAUCGUACUCAGUGGCGCUCUAUUCGUUGGCCUUGUUUUAUGUGGCGUGCAGAGAUUUGCUUCAGCCAUUCAAUCCAGUUCCAAAAUUUAUCAUAAUCAAGUCUGUUGUUUUCUUGACCUAUUGGCAGGUAGGAUCUUGUCUAAUUUUGUCAUUAUUUUAUCACUGAAUUGAAUUCCUAGCCUUUUCUGAAUCCUAAUUCUAGAAUGGUGCAUUCCUUAUAUCAAUGCCCUACUUUCUGGGAUUUUAUUAUUUACAAGAAUAAUUACAUUUUAUCCCCUUGAGAUUUUUGACAAUUAGAGAGACCAUUCUUGUGGUUUCUGAAGUUACAGGUCCCUCCUUUUUUGUUUCCUAUUAUAGUUCUCCUUCCCUGCUAUUAUUCGACCAUUAUUUUAUUGACUUUAGUGAUUAAAGUUUUCUCAAUACCAAGAUGACACCCUGGCUCUUAUUUGAUUUCUUGACUAAAUAACAAUACUAUUGUGCCCUUACAAAACUAUUCUACAACCAAUAUCCAUGUGGAAUCACUACUCACAUUAUUGUUCAAUUUUGUUUUAUGUCCAGAGCCAAUAUAUUAUCCUUAAUUCACACUGUGCUCCAACAUGAAACACUAUCAUCUCCACUUUUAACCAUCAAUAUUUUAGUCUUUGCA